AGUUUCAUGUGAACCAUGUCUUUUGUCAAAACGACUUUUAAACUGUUCGCGCUCGUCACGUUCACCGUCCUGCUCGUGCUGCUGCUGCGGCACUGGAUGGCCACCAAGCAGUACGUUUUCAACAAAGAAGACGUCGCCAAGUUGGCUAAGCAGUACGCGGGACAGGACCAUGAGCAGGCGUUCUCCAAAGUGGUGGUGGAGCUCAGGAAGAGGUAUCCCGGUCACAUUCUGCCAGAUGAGGACUUGCAGUGGGUCUUUAUAAAUGCCGGAGGCUGGAUGGGCACCAUGUGUCUGCUGCAUGCCUCUCUCACAGAGUAUGUGCUGCUGUUUGGCACUGCGGUGGACACAGGAGGACACUCGGGUCGUUAUUGGGCGGAAAUUUCCGACACCAUCAUCUCUGGCACUUUCCGGCAGUGGAAGGAGGGCACUACCAAGAGUGAAGUAUACUAUCCAGGUGACACUCUUGUUCAUGGAGUGGGAGAAGCCACGUCCGUCCAGUGGAGCGCUGGGACCUGGAUGGUGGAGUACGGCAGAGGCUUCAUCCCGUCCACGCUUGGCUUUGCUCUAGCKGACACCCUGUUCAGCACCCAUGACUUUGUCACGUUGUUUUACACCGUACGGGUGUACAYGAAAGCUCUGCUGCUCGAGGCCGGUACGCUACUCACAGACGCCGGAGUUUUCUGAGGGACAGCAGAGGACCGGCUGCUGGCACACGGACUGCGAUAUCCAUAUCCCCUUAACUAAAAGCUGGCAUGAGGCCGGUGUGAGGGGUUCAACCUGUAAUUUAUGACAAUCAGAUUUGCUAAUAGUUUCAUUCUCAUUCGUGUUUGUUUUCUACCAUAAAGUAGAAAGAAACUUGUCCUGACAUCAGAGGAACUCCACAUAUUCAUCAACAUUUAAUUUAGACUCAAACACCAAUCCAUCACCCCUUUGUCCAUUCUUAUAAGAGCUCAGACUGCCUCUUUAAUCACCCAAGUCUUAACUAUGGGAAAAAAAGAUCCAUAUGAUUUUGGAUCAAGCUUAAAAAAUAAGGCCUUUUGCCAAAUUUGAGAUGACAAAAUAACGGUAUACUGUGUUCACCUAGGAACUAAAGAGUUAACAUCUUUUCAGCAACAUUUGCAAACAACCUUAAUUGCUGAAAUUAAAAAAAUGUCAGUUUUAUCACAUAUGAAACAAACCUCUAGGAUGCACAAACACAAUUUUUAUUUUUAUUUUUUUGUGUGUAAUGCGUCUUGGGAAAAAAAUGGUACAUUUUCAUUAUUACUAUUAGUAACUUUAAAGCUGCUCAUUUCAUCUAUGGAAGCCGAAGUGAUUGGAAAUAGGUGAGCAAUGUCCACUUUGUGGGUAAAGUCUGUCGAGCCUUUUAAUUAAAUCAUGAUUCUCCACUGCAGUUUUUUUUUUUUUCAGCCUUUGACAUUUUCAGCGCACAUCACUUGCUGAGAUUAGCCUUACCUAUUUUCAGAUAAGCUUGUGAAUUAUGUGCAAAACAGAUACAAGUGAAAGUAAUUCUAAGAAACUUGGAACAAAAAUUGCCUCGCUUUGUGCAACUUAAGCUUACAUUUUUUUUCUCCUCUGAAGUCCACCUAGGAAUUACAAAAAAAAACACUACUUGUUCACACCUUCAUGUUUUACAGUGAAGAAAUAAUUCAACUUUUAGAGAACCACAGAACAUACUAUACAAUGUAAUCCAUUAGUUUACAUACAGCAGUGUGUAAACGAAUUGCUGUACUUUAUGUGCAAUUUACUGCAUAAAUGAUGACACUGACAGUGCCAGAAUAAAUAAAUGUUUUUGAAAUAAAA
Molecule: RNA transcript, 1800 nt
Organism: Austrofundulus limnaeus
Lineage: Eukaryota; Metazoa; Chordata; Actinopteri; Cyprinodontiformes; Rivulidae
Gene: sigmar1
Gene name: sigma non-opioid intracellular receptor 1
Exons: 6
Source: RefSeq, a predicted model, not a curated record